RNAcentral lists this ribosomal RNA (809 nucleotides) under uncultured Fibrobacter sp. Its description in RNAcentral is "bacterial SSU rRNA". It matches the Rfam family "Bacterial small subunit ribosomal RNA", at positions 163 to 976 of the family's 1533-position model. Lineage: Bacteria; Pseudomonadati; Fibrobacterota; Fibrobacteria; Fibrobacterales; Fibrobacteraceae. The record is from RNAcentral.
UUAAUGUCCAGGAGAGUGGCCCUCCGCAUGGAGGGUUGACUAGAGAUUUAUCGGUAUGGGAUGAGCUUGCGUCCGAUUAGCUAGUUGGCGGGGCAACGGCCCACCAAGGCGACUAUCGGUAGCCGGCCUGAGAGGGUGAUCGGCCUCAUUGGGACUGAGAUACGGCCCAGACUCCUACGGGAGGCAGCAGUAGGGAAUAUUGCACAAUGGGGGAAACCCUGAUGCAGCAACGCCACGUGUGGGAAGAAGCAUUUCGGUGUGUAAACCACUGUCAUGAGGGAAUAAGGCCCGCCUCCGGGCGGGAUUGAAUGUACCUUGAGAGGAAGCACCGGCAAACUUCGUGCCAGCAGCCGCGGUAAUACGAGGGGUGCAAGCGUUGUUCGGAAUUACUGGACGUAAAGGGAGCGUAGGCGGAGAUUCAAGCGGAUUGUACAAUCCCGGGGCCCAACCCCGGCUCUGCAGUCCGAACUGGAUCUCUGGGAUAGUUCAGGGGCAGGCGGAAUUCCUGGUGUAGCGGUGGAAUGCGUAGAGAUCAGGAAGAACACCGAUGGCGAAGGCAGCCUGCUGGGGACUUAUCGUCGCUGAGGCUCGAAAGUGCGGGUAGCAAACAGGAUUAGAUACCCUGGUAGUCCGCACCGUAAACAAUGCAUACUGGGUGUCCGGGGGUUCCCCCGGGUACCGUAGCCAACGCGUUAAGUAUGCCGCCUGGGGAGUACGUACGCAAGUAUGAAACUCAAAGGAGUUGACGGGGGCCCGCACAAGCGGUGGAGCAUGUGGUUUAAUUCGAAGCAACGCGCAGAACCUUACCA